Molecule: ribosomal RNA, 474 nt
Filed under: uncultured bacterium
Lineage: Bacteria
Description: bacterial SSU rRNA
Rfam family: Bacterial small subunit ribosomal RNA
Source: RNAcentral
ACACUGUACGAGUUGAUCCUGGCUCAGAGCGAACGCUAGCGGCGAGCUUAACACAUGCAAGUCGAGCGGAGGGUUUCGGCCCUCAGCGGCGGACGGGUGAGUAACACGUAGGUUACGUGCCCUUUGGUGGGGAAUAACUUAGGGAAACCUGAGCUAAUACCGCAUAUGCCCUUCGGGGUGAAAGUCUUCGGACGCCAGAGGAUCGGCCUGCGGCCCAUUAUUUAAUCCUUGUUGGUGGGGUAACGGCCUACCAAGGGUACGAUGGGUAGCUGGUCUGAGAGGAUGAUCAGCCACACUGGGACUGAGACACGGCCCAGACUCCUACGGGAGGCAGCAGUGGGGAAUAUUGGACAAUGGGGGAAACCCUGAUCCAGCUACGCCGCGUGGGUGAUGAAGGCCUUCGGGUUGUAAAGCCCUGUCGAGGGGGACGAAGUUCUGACGGUACCCCUCAAGAAAGCACCGGCUAACUCCGUG